CCGUGUGUGGCGCAGUUGGUAGCGCGCGUGCUUUGGGAGCAUGAGGUCGCAGGUUCGAGACCUGCUACACGGA
RNAcentral lists this transfer RNA (73 nucleotides) under Variovorax sp. CF079. It matches the Rfam family "tRNA". From Rfam's summary of the family: Transfer RNA (tRNA) molecules are approximately 80 nucleotides in length. Lineage: Bacteria; Pseudomonadati; Pseudomonadota; Betaproteobacteria; Burkholderiales; Comamonadaceae. The record is from Rfam by way of RNAcentral.